RNAcentral lists this ribosomal RNA (434 nucleotides) under Hemiptera sp. NZAC 03012544. RNAcentral describes it as "eukaryotic LSU rRNA". The record is from RNAcentral. Lineage: Eukaryota; Metazoa; Arthropoda; Insecta; Hemiptera.
AAACCGUUCGGGGUAAACGGACAGAGCCCGUGAAUCCGGGCGGCGGAAUUCAGAAUCGAUGGGCGUUCGCGCGCUCGUCGGUUUAAUAUUUCCGUCGCCGUUCACUCGGACGUCGCGACCCGUCUGGUGUCGGUCUUGGGAGCCGCGUUUCAAGUUCGUGGUCGCGUCGCUCUCGGGCGGCGUGACUACGAGGGCGCGGUGAUCGUCCGGCUGACUCGCCAGACGGUACGCUGUUACUGGUGACCUUUGCCGCCUUCGCGCGGCAAACGUGGUACCGGUCUGCGACGAAUUUUCGGGCCUCUUUCCGACCCGUCUUGAAACACGGACCAAGGAGUCUAACGUGCGCGCGAGUCGCGGGGUGUCGGGCGGCGGUGCGGCCAUCUUAUGGUGGUCUACCUGUCGUCCGUUAUAACGCGAAACCCGUACUCGUAGAA